RNAcentral lists this ribosomal RNA (497 nucleotides) under uncultured bacterium. RNAcentral's name for it is "partial 16S ribosomal RNA". It matches the Rfam family "Bacterial small subunit ribosomal RNA", at positions 28 to 507 of the family's 1533-position model. The record is from RNAcentral.
GAUGAACGCUGGCGGCGUGCCUAAUACAUGCAAGUCGAGCGAAUAGACGAGGAGCUUGCUCCUCUGACGUUAGCGGCGGACGGGUGAGUAACACGUGGAUAACCUACCUAUAAGACUGGGAUAACUUCGGGAAACCGGAGCUAAUACCGGAUAAUAUAUUGAACCGCAUGGUUCAAUAGUGAAAGACGGUUUUGCUGUCACUUAUAGAUGGAUCCGCGCCGCAUUAGCUAGUUGGUAAGGUAACGGCUUACCAAGGCAACGAUGCGUAGCCGACCUGAGAGGGUGAUCGGCCACACUGGAACUGAGACACGGUCCAGACUCCUACGGGAGGCAGCAGUAGGGAAUCUUCCGCAAUGGGCGAAAGCCUGACGGAGCAACGCCGCGUGAGUGAUGAAGGUCUUCGGAUCGUAAAACUCUUUUAUUAGGGAAGAACAAAUGUGUAAGUGACUAUGCACGUCUUGACGGUACCUAAUCAGAAAGCCACGGCUAACUACGUG